GUCAGGUUUAGCAGUUGCAGAGUCAGUCAGGUUUCUGCUUGAGGAGCAGAGGUGAGUAGAACUAAACUUAAUCUUUUAUUAAAGAAACAUAGUGCUUUUGCAUAGUUCAUGCAUCAUGAAUGCUAUGAUAUGUAUUAGGGUGAUUGCAUUAGACUCACGAAUAUGAAGCAUUGCAUAUUAUUGUUGAUUAUGUGAUCAGAGGUUAGGUGGACCCAGGCGACUCCAAUAGCCUAAGCUUCGGCUCCUGUCAUUGUGUCAGGUCAGUUGGGCAAGUACAUGUUGGAAUGCCCUGUGUAGCUCCUUUGGGGGGGCCAGUAGUGACAGAGGGUAUUUUUGGGGUCAUGUCUACCUUAGUGGAGAUUGGACCAAGGCGACUUCAAUAGCCCGUCGAGGGAGUUUUGGGGUCAUGUCUAAUCCAAGAUAUAUUGAGAUGUUUGUUU
Molecule: long non-coding RNA, 440 nt
Filed under: Manihot esculenta (cassava)
Lineage: Eukaryota; Viridiplantae; Streptophyta; Magnoliopsida; Malpighiales; Euphorbiaceae
Description: long non-coding RNA (MESC_LNC012351)
Source: RNAcentral